CGAGCGGCGGACGGGUGAGUAAUGUCUGGGAAACUGCCUGAUGGAGGGGGAUAACUACUGGAAACGGUAGCUAAUACCGCAUAACGUCGCAAGACCAAAGAGGGGGACCUUCGGGCCUCUUGCCAUCAGAUGUGCCCAGAUGGGAUUAGCUAGUAGGUGGGGUAAUGGCUCACCUAGGCGACGAUCCCUAGCUGGUCUGAGAGGAUGACCAGCCACACUGGAACUGAGACACGGUCCAGACUCCUACGGGAGGCAGCAGUGGGGAAUAUUGCACAAUGGGCGCAAGCCUGAUGCAGCCAUGCCGCGUGUAUGAAGAAGGCCUUCGGGUUGUAAAGUACUUUCAGCGAGGAGGAAGGCAUUGAGGUUAAUAACCUCAGUGAUUGACGUUACUCGCAGAAGAAGCACCGGCUAACUCCGUGCCAGCAGCCGCGGUAAUACGGAGGGUGCAAGCGUUAAUCGGAAUUACUGGGCGUAAAGCGCACGCAGGCGGUCUGUCAAGUCGGAUGUGAAAUCCCCGGGCUCAACCUGGGAACUGCAUUCGAAACUGGCAGGCUAGAGUCUUGUAGAGGGGGGUAGAAUUCCAGGUGUAGCGGUGAAAUGCGUAGAGAUCUGGAGGAAUACCGGUGGCGAAGGCGGCCCCCUGGACAAAGACUGACGCUC
This 660-nucleotide ribosomal RNA is filed under the name Enterobacter sp. AR-369. Its description in RNAcentral is "bacterial SSU rRNA". It matches the Rfam family "Bacterial small subunit ribosomal RNA", at positions 92 to 748 of the family's 1533-position model. Lineage: Bacteria; Pseudomonadati; Pseudomonadota; Gammaproteobacteria; Enterobacterales; Enterobacteriaceae. The record is from RNAcentral. RNAcentral also lists the same sequence under 1 other name.